Ahaetulla prasina is the source of this 2235-nucleotide long non-coding RNA. RefSeq lists it as uncharacterized. NCBI's taxonomy places the organism in Eukaryota, Metazoa, Chordata, Lepidosauria, Squamata, Colubridae. The record is from RefSeq and is a predicted model, not a curated record. The transcript has 2 exons.
AAUUGAGGUUUUGGGAAAUGGAGGGAAAAAUAGUAGAAUAAAUUGGGAUAAGAGGCAAAUGAGUGUUAUUAUAUUGAAGAAAAAAUUCUCUCUUUUUUGUUCUUACAAAUAAGUAAGGUAAUGAAAUGAUUUGAUAAAACUUCUAAGGAAACAGUUAAUAUUUUUGGGGAAUAACUGGGGGAAAUAAUUAGUGAUUAUCCUUACAAAUGUUAAAUUUUCUGUUUGAUAUUAAAAUGGAUUAGAUGGAAAACUUUAAAUAUAUGUUAUUGAUUUAGAGGCAGAGGAAGACGGAGGGAAGAAUGAAAGUGUCUAUGUGAUCUCUGGGCAGUUUUAAGAAAGAGAUUUUAGAUAGGAUGACCUCUGAUUAGUAAUGUAGAUAUAAAGCUGAGAGAGGUGAAAUUUUAAAAUGUUAAUAGAAUCUAUUAAUGAUGUUGAAGGGAAAUAAGUCCAGGGAUUAGACUUCAUUUAAAUAUUUUUCUGAAUGGGUUGAAUUUGAUUUACUUCUAUAAUCAGAUUUUGUGCAAAUAAAUAAUUGAAUUUAAAGAAUAAGAAGGAAAAUACAUUGUAUUAGAUUAUAACUUAGGUGGAUAUGUUUAAAGAUGUACCUGACCAAUAAUUUGUUCACAAUGAUUCUUUUUUAUUCUUGUAAAAAAAAUAAAAAUAUUUGGCAAAAAAAAAAGAGUCAAAGUCACAGGUGAAUUAUAAAACAGGGAAGACUAUUUCUCAUAUUGCAACAUUUGCUCUGGGAUGAGGGGGCAUAAUAUGGCAGAGGCAUUAUUGAUGCUUGAAUCCUGGUUUUUAGAGGUCAAGGCCAAUAGGAAUAGCAAUUGUGGAAAAGCUCCAGUUUCUGAAUCAUUUUCUAGUCUACAUGGAAUUCUACAUAAAAUAGAACACAGCAGGAUCUGUUUAGUGGGUUAAACUAAAAAAGAGGAAAUAAUAGAAGAUCAAACUCUUGGGAGGAAUAUGAAAUCAAUGUUCCCUUAUUCUUCUAAUCUCAUAGGAGCAAUCAGAUUUUAGAAUAGCUCAAGAACAGUUGUUUUUUUUUAAGGACAGAUUUGUAGUAUUUAGGACAAUAUUAAUCAUAUCAUUCUUUGUGGUUUGCAGACUUGGUCAUGAGCCAAUACAAGAAGAGGACAACAGACCUUUAACUCAUGAGGAGCUCAGAGAAAAAGUAAUAAAGGAGAUCCAAAGCAAGGCAGCAGCACUUUCUCUAAAGAAAAGCACGUAAUGUGCAGUUCAGUGACUGUAUCCUGGGAUUAACACACACAAGAAAUAACCUCAGGCCUCCAGACGUGAAUAGGAAUCUAACUGCAGCCUGGGCUACACCAGCCAAAAAAGAAAACUGAGGCAGAUUGCAUUCCAAGUGUGGUUCCUGAAACAUUUUUCUUUACACCAUUGCCCUCUGCCGCAUGCUUUCUCAUGUCUGGAAAGGCUGAGUGUAGCCUUCAUCCUGCAGGAUCCUUCACUCUGCUGUAGUCCAUGGAAAAUCUUCCUCCUGCUGGUGAAUUGUUCCUUUUCUGGGCUGCUUAUGUGAUCAGGACAGAUGUAUUGUGUCAGUGGUACAUAAUUCAUAGCUGUCAUACCAUCCAAGUUGUUUGCUUCCGUGCUGCCUGUUUGUUUAUACAGUAUGCCUUUAAUUUGACUCCACAUUCUCAUGCAAAGAGGGAACGCUUUGCAAAAUUUUUGCCUAUAGCAGUGGUAUUUUACUUUGCCACCAUUCCGAUGAAGGAAGCAAGAAUUUCCAGCUUCUAAAAUAAGAUCCUUUUGGGAAACAGGUGACCAAAUUUGCUAUAUUCCCCCAGCAGCAUUUUGUAUCUACAAUAGUUCUUUCUCCUGUUAGUCUCCUUAGCUGUCAGAAUGUUUGAGGCCCACAAGGGGUAUAUUGUGUCUUUUGAUGUAUCUGAGCAGAAAUUGGGUUUAUUUAAAGCACUUGGCCACAUCUUGAACGGGUGUUUCUUCAAAAAACAAAAAUAAAAAACAACUAGCAUGUUCCUCAAGUGUGGUUUUUUACCACAUGAUCAUCUGAGGCUGUAUCAGUCCCACACAAAGUUCCCAUUUACAACUGCCAGUUAGCGCUCCAUGCAUAAGUGGCAUAUGCAAAAGGUUUUCCCCCCCAAAGUAAAUUGAAAAAUACAUGAAAAUUGCAGUAAUCGAGGUAUGUGUCAGAGGAGAAGUUACUUCCCUGUAGUUAUCUUUUCAUUCUCUUUAAGCCCCCUUUUUGGGAGAAGUUUUUUU